AGAGUUUGAUCAUGGCUCAGAUUGAACGCUGGCGGCAGGCCUAACACAUGCAAGUCGAGCGGAAACGAGAAUAGCUUGCUAUUCGGCGUCGAGCGGCGGACGGGUGAGUAAUGCCUGGGAAAUUGCCCUGAUGUGGGGGAUAACCAUUGGAAACGAUGGCUAAUACCGCAUAAUAGCUUCGGCUUAAAGAGGGGGACCUUCGGGCCUCUCGCUUCAGGAUAUGCCCAGGUGGGAUUAGCUAGUUGGUGAGGUAAAGGCUCACCAAGGCGACGAUCCCUAGCUGGUCUGAGAGGAUGAUCAGCCACACUGGAACUGAGACACGGUCCAGACUCCUACGGGAGGCAGCAGUGGGGAAUAUUGCACAAUGGGCGCAAGCCUGAUGCAGCCAUGCCGCGUGUAUGAAGAAGGCCUUCGGGUUGUAAAGUACUUUCAGCAGUGAGGAAGGGUGUGUAGUUAAUAGCUGCAUACUUUGACGUUAGCUGCAGAAGAAGCACCGGCUAACUCCGUGCCAGCAGCCGCGGUAAUACGGAGGGUGCGAGCGUUAAUCGGAAUUACUGGGCGUAAAGCGCAUGCAGGUGGUUUGUUAAGUCAGAUGUGAAAGCCCGGGGCUCAACCUCGGAACCGCAUUUGAAACUGGCAGGCUAGAGUACUGUAGAGGGGGGUAGAAUUUCA
Molecule: ribosomal RNA, 672 nt
Filed under: uncultured Vibrionaceae bacterium
Lineage: Bacteria; Pseudomonadati; Pseudomonadota; Gammaproteobacteria; Vibrionales; Vibrionaceae
Description: bacterial SSU rRNA
Rfam family: Bacterial small subunit ribosomal RNA
Source: RNAcentral